Molecule: long non-coding RNA, 706 nt
Organism: Oreochromis niloticus (Nile tilapia)
Lineage: Eukaryota; Metazoa; Chordata; Actinopteri; Cichliformes; Cichlidae
Exons: 2
Source: RefSeq, a predicted model, not a curated record
UAUCAUGAUAUCGGUUUCAGAAAUAGAUAAAAGUGACGAACAUUUCUCCGGGUGUGUUCUUCGAAGGCUGAAUACUGAGCAGAUAGUUGUCUUCCACUGUGUUUUUCUCGUCUCCGGUGUGGACAGAAGGAAGUUUUGCUACACUUUGUGACGAAACAGAUCAGAAGUUUCUGGCAACACUUCAGCUUCUUCCAUGGAGACAAGCAUAAGAUCUAAUGACAGUGAUGAUGAUCCUGAUGAAGGCCACAAGCCAAAAUGUGUCGGUGGAGCAGUAAAGUUUUAUAAAUCAUUCAAAUGUUCCUCGAGCUCCAACUUUCUGUUUGCUUAUUGUUUCAGGACUCUGUGUGUUGAUUUCACUGGCAGCUUAUUUAUUAAUAAGUAAUUAUUAAUAUUAUUAUUGAAAACAACUCCAAAUAUAACAAAGAGGUAAGUUUAGUUUUAUAAAAGAGAGAGAGAGCAGUCUCCCUGUAAGGUGAAUAUCUACAAAUAUACAAACACAUUAAAUUUGCAUCUGAACAUGACAGUCAGCAAUGCAGCCUGAUUUAAAAACAUUAAUAUGAAAAUAAAAGAAUGAAUGAGUGACUGCCUGUCUGAACUUUUAAUGUCACUCUUUCCUUACUUGUUUAAAAUGUCUGAAUGAUCAGUCAUUACUGCUUUUCUUGAAACCUCAACACAGAAAAAGAAUAAAAACUAAAUGAUGUGAAAU